RNAcentral lists this ribosomal RNA (253 nucleotides) under uncultured bacterium. RNAcentral describes it as "partial 16S ribosomal RNA". It matches the Rfam family "Bacterial small subunit ribosomal RNA", at positions 524 to 776 of the family's 1533-position model. The record is from RNAcentral.
UACGUAGGGUCCGAGCGUUGUCCGGAAUUACUGGGCGUAAAGGGCGCGUAGGCGGGAUGGCAAGUCGGUCGUGAAAUCCCUCGGCUCAACUGAGGAUCGUCGAUCGAUACUGCCGUUCUUGAGGAUUGCAGAGGAGACUGGAAUUCCCGGUGUAGCGGUGAAGUGUGUAGAGAUCGGGAGGAACACCGGUGGCGAAGGCGGGUCUCUAGCCAGUUCCUGACGCUGAGGCACGAAAGCCAGGGUAGCAAACGGG